Molecule: transfer RNA, 75 nt
Filed under: Bacteroidota bacterium
Lineage: Bacteria; Pseudomonadati; Bacteroidota
Also listed under: 1 other name
Description: tRNA-Met
Rfam family: tRNA
About the family: Transfer RNA (tRNA) molecules are approximately 80 nucleotides in length. Their secondary structure includes four short double-helical elements and three loops (D, anti-codon, and T loops).
Source: RNAcentral
CGCGGGAUGGAGCAGUGGUAGCUCGUCGGGCUCAUAACCCGAAGGUCACAGGUUCGAGUCCUGUUCCCGCAACCA